CAGUCUUUCGAACGUACAUAGUGCAGAGAAUAUGUGGCCGGUCGAAUUUUUUUGGGGGGGGUAACUAUCUGCAUCAACUCAUAGCAAAAUGCUUCAAAGACACUACGAACUCCAGUGUCGACCAGCCACCAUGAGUGUAAAUUAGCCGUUUGAAUGGACUCCCAUCUUAACUCAUGUGGAUGGACGUCAGAAGUCCUAUGGGCUGUGUCCACUCAAGCGAAACCCCUGAGGCUUGAUGGAAGACUAUAUGAUUUAAAUGGUGUUGUGGCCUCAGAGGGUGAAGGGACAGUUACUUGGUCUGCUAACCUGGGUGUGAUCCCAUAAAUAUUCCAAUGAUGUUACUCCCGUGUGAGCAGUGCCGGAGGGUCAAGAGGACAGUUGAUUGGUCUGCCAACCUGGAUGUGAACCCCUGAAAAUACAGCAAGUAAUGCCAUUGGAAUCAGAUCAGGUAAUGGGGUCAAAGACGUGCCAAGGACAGGACUCAAGAACUGAAAUUCACCAAAGGAAUGAUCAGUGCCUGACUAAAAGAAACUAGUUCAAUGCAAACAUUAGAAAAUGUCAAGUUUAAUGGCGUACUAAAACCAGAAAGUCACAGGGCUCUAAGCCCCACAGUUAAUCGGUGUGAAAGGCUGAAUUGUAAGGUGCUUGAGUGCGUCCAGGAAGAACUGCUCGUCCUGCAGAAAGUCACGAUCCUAAGAAGAUGAAACAAGUACAUUGAUCGACAAUAAAGAUUUUGAAACUAU
Salvelinus sp. IW2-2015 is the source of this 743-nucleotide long non-coding RNA. RefSeq lists it as uncharacterized. NCBI's taxonomy places the organism in Eukaryota, Metazoa, Chordata, Actinopteri, Salmoniformes, Salmonidae. The record is from RefSeq and is a predicted model, not a curated record.